Molecule: ribosomal RNA, 861 nt
Filed under: Picoa sp. II PA-2015
Lineage: Eukaryota; Fungi; Ascomycota; Pezizomycetes; Pezizales; Pyronemataceae
Description: LSU rRNA
Rfam family: Eukaryotic large subunit ribosomal RNA
Source: RNAcentral
AACUGCGAGUGAAGCGGCAAAAGCUCAAAUUUGAAAUCGGUGUGCCUGAAGUACAUCGAGUUGUAAUUUGGAGGGACAACUUCGGACUGAACCACACCGUAAGUUUCUUGGAACAGGACAUCAUAGAGGGUGAGAAUCCCGUGUCUUGGUGUAGGGUCAAACCAUGUGAAGUGUCUCCGACGAGUCGAGUUGUUUGGGAAUGCAGCUCAAAAUGGGUGGUAAAUUUCAUCUAAAGCUAAAUAUUGGCGAGAGACCGAUAGCGCACAAGUAGAGUGAUCGAAAGAUGAAAAGCACUUUGAAAAGAGAGUUAAAAAGUACGUGAAAUUGUUGAAAGGGAAGCGCUUACGACCAGACUCGAUCUUUGGUGAUCAGCCGGAUUUCGGUUCGGUGCCCUCGCCAUUGAUUGGGCCAGCAUCGGUUCUGACGGUGGGAUAAAAGGAGGAGGAAUGUAGCUCCCCUCGGGGAGUGUUAUAGCCUCCUUCACAAUGCUGCCAGUUGGGACCGAGGACCGCGCUUCGGCUAGGAUGCUGGUGUAAUGGUCUUAAGCGACCCGUCUUGAAACACGGACCAAGGAGUCUAACAUCUAUGCGAGUGUUCGGGUGGAAAACCCCUGCGCGUAAUGAAAGUGAACGGAGGUGUGAACCCUUCACGGGGUGCAACAUCGACCGGUCCUGAUGUCUUCGGAAGGAUCUGAGUAAGAGCAUAGCUGUUGGGACCCGAAAGAUGGUGAACUAUGCCUGAAUAGGGUGAAGCCAGAGGAAACUCUGGUGGAGGCUCGCAGCGGUUCUGACGUGCAAAUCGAUCGUCAAAUUUGGGUAUAGGGGCGAAAGACUAAUCGAACCAUCUAGUAGCUGGUUCCUG